UACGGGGGGGGCAAGCGUUGUUCGGAAUUACUGGGCGUAAAGGGCUCGUAGGCGGCCAACUAAGUCAGACGUGAAAUCCCCAGGCUCAACCUGGGAACUGCGUCUGAUACUGGAUGGCUUGAAUCCGGGAGAGGGAUGCAGAAUUCCAGGUGUAGCGGUGAAAUGCGUAGAUAUCUGGAGGAACACCGGUGGCGAAGGCGGCAUUCUGGACCGAUAUUGACGCUGAGGAGCGAAAGCCAGGGGAGCAAACGGG
This 253-nucleotide ribosomal RNA is filed under the name uncultured bacterium. Its description in RNAcentral is "partial 16S ribosomal RNA". It matches the Rfam family "Bacterial small subunit ribosomal RNA", at positions 524 to 776 of the family's 1533-position model. The record is from RNAcentral.